UACGUAGGGACCAAGCGUUGUCCGGAAUCAUUGGGCUUAAAGCGUGCGUAGGUGGCUUCAUAAGUCCGUUGUGAAAGUCAAAGGCUCAACCUUUGAAAGCCGAUGGAUACUGUGGAGCUAGAGUACGGAAGAGGCGAGUGGAAUUCCUGGUGUAGCGGUGGAAUGCGUAGAUAUCAGGAGGAACACCAAUAGCGAAGGCAGCUCGCUGGGACGUUACUGACACUAAGGCGCGAAAGCGUGGGGAGCGAACAGG
Molecule: ribosomal RNA, 253 nt
Filed under: uncultured bacterium
Lineage: Bacteria
Description: partial 16S ribosomal RNA
Rfam family: Bacterial small subunit ribosomal RNA
Source: RNAcentral